GACGAACGCUGGCGACCGGCGCACGGGUGAGUAACACGUAUCCAACCUGCCCUUCAGAGGGGGACAACAGUUGGAAACGACUGCUAAUACCGCAUACUGAAGGAGGGGAUUGCGUCUGAUUAGCUAGUUGGAGGGGUAACGGCCCACCAAGGCGCUGAUCAGUAGCCGGUCUGAGAGGAUGAACGGCCACAUUGGGACUGUGAUACGGCCCAGACUCCUACGGGGGGCAGCAGUGGGGAAUCUUCCGCAAUGCACGAAAGUCUGACGGAGCAACGCCGCGUGAUGGAUGACGGCUUUCGGGUUGUAAAGCUCUGUUAAUCGGGACGCGGUACCGGAAUAGAAAGCCACGGCUAACUACGUGCCAGCCGCCGCGGUAAUUC
Molecule: ribosomal RNA, 380 nt
Filed under: uncultured bacterium
Lineage: Bacteria
Description: partial 16S ribosomal RNA
Rfam family: Bacterial small subunit ribosomal RNA
Source: RNAcentral